GGGUGCGAUCAUACCAGCACUAAUGCA
Molecule: non-coding RNA, 27 nt
Filed under: Mus musculus (house mouse)
Lineage: Eukaryota; Metazoa; Chordata; Mammalia; Rodentia; Muridae
Also listed under: 1 other name
Source: RNAcentral